RNAcentral lists this ribosomal RNA (447 nucleotides) under uncultured bacterium. RNAcentral describes it as "bacterial SSU rRNA". It matches the Rfam family "Bacterial small subunit ribosomal RNA", at positions 329 to 792 of the family's 1533-position model. The record is from RNAcentral.
UGCCAGACUCCUACGGGAGGCAGCAGUAGGGAAUUUUGCGCAAUGGGCGAAAGCCUGACGCAGCAACACCGCGUGAAUGUUAAGCCCUUCGGGGUGUAAAGUUCUGUCAGUAGGGAAGAACAAAUGACUGUACCUACAAAGGAAGCACCGGCUAACUCCGUGCCAGCAGCCGCGGUAAUACGGGGGGUGCAAGCGUUGUCCGGAAUCAUUGGGCGUAAAGCGUUCGUAGGCGGUAAAGUAAGUCAGAUGUUAAAGCCCGGGGCUCAACUCCGGUUCGGCAUUUGAUACUACUUAACUAGAAUGCGGUAGAGGUAAAGGGAAUUCCUGGUGUAGCGGUGAAAUGCGUAGAUAUCAGGAGGAACAUCGGUGGCGAAAGCGCUUUACUGGGCCGUUAUUGACGCUGAGGAACGAAAGCCGGGGGAGCAAAUGGGAUUAGAUACCCUCGUA